This 501-nucleotide ribosomal RNA is filed under the name uncultured bacterium. RNAcentral's name for it is "partial 16S ribosomal RNA". It matches the Rfam family "Bacterial small subunit ribosomal RNA", at positions 30 to 523 of the family's 1533-position model. The record is from RNAcentral.
AUUGAACGCUGGCGGCAGGCUUAACACAUGCAAGUCGAGCGGGGGAAGGUAGCUUGCUACCGGACCUAGCGGCGGACGGGUGAGUAAUGCUUAGGAAUCUGCCUAUUAGUGGGGGACAACAUCUCGAAAGGGAUGCUAAUACCGCAUACGUCCUACGGGAGAAAGCAGGGGGUCUUCGGACCUUGCGCUAAUAGAUGGGCCUACGUCGGAUUAGCUAGUUGGUGGGGUAAAGGCCUACCAAGGCGACGAUCUGUAGCGGGUCUGAGAGGAUGAUCCGCCACACUGGGACUGAGACACGGCCCAGACUCCUACGGGAGGCAGCAGUGGGGAAUAUUGGACAAUGGGCGGAAGCCUGAUCCAGCCAUGCCGCGUGUGUGAAGAAGGCCUUUUGGUUGUAAAGCACUUUAAGCGAGGAGGAGGCUACUUAGAUUAAUACUCUGGGAUAGUGGACGUUACUCGCAGAAUAAGCACCGGCUAACUCUGUGCCAGCCGCCGCGGUAA